Molecule: ribosomal RNA, 406 nt
Filed under: uncultured bacterium
Lineage: Bacteria
Description: partial 16S ribosomal RNA
Rfam family: Bacterial small subunit ribosomal RNA
Source: RNAcentral
AUUGAACGCUGGCGGCAGGCCUAACACAUGCAAGUCGAACGAGUGGCGGACGGGUGAGUAAUGUCUGGGAAACUGCCCGAUGGAGGGGGAUAACUACUGGAAACGGUAGCUAAUACCGCAUACCAUCGGAUGUGCCCAGAUGGGAUUAGCUAGUAGGUGGGGUAACGGCUCACCUAGGCGCCGAUCCCUAGCUGGUCUGAGAGGAUGACCAGCCACCUUGGAACUCAUACACGGUCCAGACUCCUACGCGAGGCAGCAGUGGGGAAUAGUGCACAAUGGGCGCAAGCCUGAUGCAGCCACGCCGCGUGUAUGAAGAAGGCCUUCGGGUUGUAAAGUACUUGCAGCGAGGAGGCGUUACUCGCAGAAGAAGCACCGGCUAACUCCGUGCCAGCAGCCGCGGUAAUUC